RNAcentral lists this long non-coding RNA (357 nucleotides) under Vulpes vulpes (red fox). RNAcentral describes it as "lncRNA (ENSVVUG00000001417.1)". The record is from RNAcentral. Lineage: Eukaryota; Metazoa; Chordata; Mammalia; Carnivora; Canidae.
UCUCCCUCCUUAUCUACCCUAAAGACAGCAGAUACAUGAAGGCAGGAUAUCCUCUUAUACUUCUGCAUUUAGUAGGUCCUCAAAUCUUUAAAUAGAGAAAGAAAAUUUAUCUGAGGCAGCAUUGUCCGGGAACUAAAAAAGAUCAUUGACCCAAUAAACUGGAGUAAUUACAUUCAUUGGAGUCUAUUAGAUGCCAGACAUGUGUGGUAAUGACUCAAUUCAGCUCUCAAAGUGAAGGCACAAAUGGUCAGUCGACUUGUAAAGAUCAAUUAUAUGGUGGGCUGAAGCAAACAUGUCAACUGAAGGUAAUGACCUUUCUUGCAAAGCUGAUGAUGGAGUUUGUGAAGAAGAGUCAUG